This 212-nucleotide unclassified non-coding RNA is filed under the name Glomus sp. RNAcentral's name for it is "partial contains 5.8S ribosomal RNA and internal transcribed spacer 2". The stretch from base 1 to 65 matches the Rfam family "5.8S ribosomal RNA", at positions 84 to 154 of the family's 154-position model. Lineage: Eukaryota; Fungi; Glomeromycota; Glomeromycetes; Glomerales; Glomeraceae. The record is from RNAcentral.
GUGAAUCAUCGAAUUUUUGAACGCAAAUUGCACUCUCUUCGGAGAGUAUGCCUGUUUGAGGGUCAGCCUAAAAAAAAAUCGACAUCGUCGCUGUUUCGCGGUGACAUUCGUCGGCACCUGGGUUAUCUUAAACUUCUGGGUUUUAAGCGGCUUAAAAUUUUCUUUACGAUUUUACGACCGUUUCUAAGAUUUACUUCUUCUAUGUUUAAGGU